RNAcentral lists this ribosomal RNA (321 nucleotides) under uncultured Pseudomonadota bacterium. RNAcentral's name for it is "bacterial SSU rRNA". It matches the Rfam family "Bacterial small subunit ribosomal RNA", at positions 30 to 351 of the family's 1533-position model. The record is from RNAcentral. Lineage: Bacteria; Pseudomonadati; Pseudomonadota.
AUUGAACGCUGGCGGCAGGCCUAACACAUGCAAGUCGAGCGGAUGACAGGAGCUUGCUCCUGAAUUCAGCGGCGGACGGGUGAGUAAUGCCUAGGAAUCUGCCUAUUAGUGGGGGACAACGUUUCGAAAGGAACGCUAAUACCGCAUACGUCCUACGGGAGAAAGCAGGGGACCUUCGGGCCUUGCGCUAAUAGAUGAGCCUAGGUCGGAUUAGCUAGUUGGUGGGGUAAUGGCUCACCAAGGCGACGAUCCGUAACUGGUCUGAGAGGAUGAUCAGUCACACUGGAACUGAGACACGGUCCAGACUCCUACGGGAGGCUG